UACGUAGGCAGCGAGCGUUGUUCGGAAUUACUGGGCGUAAAGAGUGUGUAGGCGGUGCUCUAAGUUCGGUGUGAAAUCUCCUGGCUUAACUGGGAGGGUGCGCCGGAAACUGGAGUGCUCGAACGUGGGAGAGGAAAGCGGAAUUCCUGGUGUAGCGGUGAAAUGCGCAGAUAUCAGGAGGAACACCGGUGGCGAAGGCGGGUCUCUGGGCCGAUACUGACGCUGGAGGUGCGAAAGCGUGGGGAGCAAACAGG
RNAcentral lists this ribosomal RNA (254 nucleotides) under uncultured bacterium. RNAcentral's name for it is "partial 16S ribosomal RNA". It matches the Rfam family "Bacterial small subunit ribosomal RNA", at positions 524 to 776 of the family's 1533-position model. The record is from RNAcentral.